GGUUAUUCAACAAAAACGACCCUCUUUUUGUUUCCUUGAAUCCUUCUAGUACACCCAGUGACCACCCAGAUCACCACCGCUUACUACCGCAAAUGCAGGCCACUGUCUGGCCACCAAUGACCGUGCAACCACAACCAUUCUUCUCCUCGGAGCAACGCCGCCUUCAUUAGGCAUUUCAACAUAAGAUGAUUGUUACUCUUGGAUUUUAUGUCUACAAUUUAUACUUGCACUGUUUGAUAUUGCAUCAUACUUUAUCAUGAUAUGCUUUUCUUUUAUUUGGUUAAGAAUAUCAUGUCUUCAUGUCAAAUUAAAUCACUCUGCCACCAAUGUAUCAUGAUGACAAUUAAAUAGAGAUUGCUCUGAAUAAUGCAAGGAAGCUAUACCCUUGUUGAUAUAUGAUGCUGCGCUAAGAAAUUUUAGUACAGAGGAUGAAGAUGACAAGAGUUUGAGCAGAAUGGGGAAGGAAAGUGAAUGGCAAGUGAAGAGGAUUGCUUGUGUUUAAAUAAUACCCCUUUUUUGACAUAAAAUAUUCAAUAGAGUUUGUGUGUGAUUGCUUCCA
This 559-nucleotide long non-coding RNA is filed under the name Medicago truncatula (barrel medic). RNAcentral's name for it is "lncRNA gene10185". The record is from RNAcentral. Lineage: Eukaryota; Viridiplantae; Streptophyta; Magnoliopsida; Fabales; Fabaceae.